Molecule: long non-coding RNA, 478 nt
Filed under: Sorghum bicolor (sorghum)
Lineage: Eukaryota; Viridiplantae; Streptophyta; Magnoliopsida; Poales; Poaceae
Description: long non-coding RNA (SBIC_LNC016113)
Source: RNAcentral
CUGGCAUAUUGCUUAUUAGAGGGACCAUGGGCUAUCAUUUUCUUUUCUUCUCUUUUUUUUAAGUGGAUAUCGAGGUAUCCCUAAUUCUACUGCCGGACACUUGUCCAUUUUUCAGCAAGGUUAUCGAGCACUUGCUCCUUUUUAUUUCCUCGAAAUAUCUUUAUUUUUGCAUAGCCCAUGCCUCUAAUGCAAUAAUACUUCGGAAGAGUGAAUCUUUCUGAAUAAAUGUCUUGAUCUUAGGAGCAUGAUAAAUCUCUCAACAAGGGUCUAACUCAUUUCGAACAAACUCAAUACAGAGUAGAUAGAUUUUAUAAUCAUAAUUAAUAUUUUCAGUUUUAUCAGGCAUAUAAAACACUGAGGAUGGUAGCUAGAAUUUUGAAGAUUUUGAAAUAAAUUCUCCAUGUAACAAUGAUAUCAAGAAUAAGAAACUCAUACUCUACUAUCUCACAUUCCACACUAACUUAAGCAGCACAGGGUU